Molecule: long non-coding RNA, 265 nt
Organism: Orcinus orca (killer whale)
Lineage: Eukaryota; Metazoa; Chordata; Mammalia; Artiodactyla; Delphinidae
Exons: 2
Source: RefSeq, a predicted model, not a curated record
CUGUGAUUCUAGGCCACUGAGCAGUUUCCAUGGAUGCAACCUUCUUUUCUUAUCUAGAAGGAUAAUAAUAAUCAGUACUGCACUCUGGGACCACGGGACCAGGUGUCCACCUACCAUGGAUCUGGGGGAACACACUCUGUGAAAGAAGCAGGUGUCCACAGCCCAAAUGCAGAAGAAGAGAUUGACGAGUUUUUAUUUAUUCAAAGGGACAUUUCCAGGUGCAUAAAGAAGCCACAAGUUAGUGUUGUUAAAAAAAAAAAUCAAA